This 70-nucleotide transfer RNA is filed under the name Perkinsus chesapeaki. RNAcentral's name for it is "tRNA-Met". It matches the Rfam family "tRNA". Rfam says of the family: Transfer RNA (tRNA) molecules are approximately 80 nucleotides in length. Their secondary structure includes four short double-helical elements and three loops (D, anti-codon, and T loops). Lineage: Eukaryota; Perkinsozoa; Perkinsida; Perkinsidae. The record is from RNAcentral.
GCUUUGGCGCAGUAGGUAGGGCGUAGGUCUCAUAAUCCUAAGGUCGCGAGUUCGAUCCUCGCAGGCCGCA